AAACCAUGACGUGGACAGAUUCUCAUCAUGUCCUUGUAUCUCUCUCAUGCUUUGAAAAGUGACUCAUCGUCCUUCUGCCUAAAAAAAAUUUAUUUGGCUCCUUAGCAU
This is a small nucleolar RNA of Vicia villosa (hairy vetch), 108 nucleotides long. The record is from RefSeq and is a predicted model, not a curated record. Lineage: Eukaryota; Viridiplantae; Streptophyta; Magnoliopsida; Fabales; Fabaceae.